GCUGGCGCGGGCGGCGGAGCAACGAGCACGCGGCGGCUAGACUAGAGCAUCGCCGCUGCCGGCUCCCGAUUGGCUGUGACGUUAUAACCCGCCAGGCGGUCUCGGGACCCGCGGAGUGGAAACUCCGGGAAAGGAGUGCGACGUCUCAGCCUGGUUCUGCGACUUCGGCUGAGAAAGCGGGGGACCCAGUGCGGGCGCGGGCCCUCCGAAAAUCCUUGUAACUUUACCGAAUUUCUUAAGGAUAGAGAACUGCAACUCCCGCCCUUCUUGAGCCGGUAUUUCCCGUUUGCGGCUGCGCGGUUGGCCUGGGUUAAAGCAUCUAGAGACCCUAGGAUUGCUUCAGGUCAGCAGUCCCCACUGGAGAAAAAAAUAUUGGUAAAUAAGUUGUCUUCACAUCAUACAGGUUGGAACUACUAAGAGAAAGAACCUUAGGUUUAAAACCUUUCUGCUGAAGUGACACCUCGAGUAGUGUGUGUACACUGGCACCUGUUUUCUAGCUAUAUCCAUACUUGAAAAACAAAGUAUUAUUUUGGAAACUCCCAACACUAUAUUUUUAGAAAGCUAGUUAUUGAUUUUGGUGGUAGGUACUUUACCUUUCAGAGCUCACAGGCUCACCUAGGAAUGAUGGGAGUAACAAAGUUCUUAUACUAAAGUAAACCAUAAACCACUCAUCUUUUCUUGGUGUCAGUAGUCAGGGUAAACUACUGUUUAAAUAUGUUCAGUGUAAAAGAUGGUCACCCCAUACAAUUCUGUCCCCCCGAUAGAAUCUAGGUGGUGUGCGUACCAAAGCAGCCAGACAACUGAGAACUCAAAAAAAUCAAGAGGAGUAUCAGACACUCUAUAGGGAGCAAGAUCUCUCCCUUGACUACUGGCUCGCCCGAGUGGAGUCUUACUAUAGCAAAGGAUUGGUGGGAAUGAUGAGAGCACAAGAGGCAGGCAAUGGGAUUGAGAAGAAAUGGGAGGGGAAGGCAACCCAAAGCACGGACAGACAGACACAGUGCUGCUUGGUGCCUGAGAGAGAGAUGAGACACAUAGCGCGGCAAAUGCAGCAGGCGGCACAGGCCAGAGAGCUCACAGAGAAAGCCCUUAGACAGUUACUGUGGUCCCCUCCUGAGCCGGCACUCCCCAAGCUUGUGUGCGCAGGGCCUGGCAUCCAGAAUGCACAGAGAAGAAAACGGGUAAAUGACAGGGAACAGAUGCAAAUUAAAGAUCACCAGGAACGCAUGAUUAGAGGGAGGGAACUAAUAGAGCAAAGACUCAAGGCAAGAUUCUUGAGAAAAAGCCAGAGCCAGCCACCUACAACAGAGAAGCGUGAGAGAAUAAAGAAAGAGAUAAAAGAAUUUGAAAGUGUUACUGCAUAUCCACUUUUCCAGCCACGCAGAAGUCGGAUUAAAGUGAAUAUUCUUAUGGAAAAGUCUCAGAAUAGAGAAGAAGAGGAUACAAUUAUAAAAACUUAUCAAAGAAAAUUUUUAACUCUCCCACCCUUUUUGAGAAGUCAAAUAAGAAAAAUAAAAGAUUAGUCAAGUUUCAA
Molecule: RNA transcript, 1531 nt
Organism: Myotis davidii
Lineage: Eukaryota; Metazoa; Chordata; Mammalia; Chiroptera; Vespertilionidae
Exons: 3
Source: RefSeq, a predicted model, not a curated record